UGGGGAAUAUUGGACAAUGGGCGCAAGCCUGAUCCAGCCAUGCCGCGUGAGUGAUGAAGGCCCUAGGGUUGUAAAGCUCUUUCAACUGUGAAGAUAAUGACGGUAACCGUAGAAGAAGCCCCGGCUAACUUCGUGCCAGCAGCCGCGGUAAUACGAAGGGGGCUAGCGUUGUUCGGAAUUACUGGGCGUAAAGCGCACGUAGGCGGAUUGGUCAGUUAGGAGUGAAAUCCCAGGGCUCAACCCUGGAACUGCCUUUAAUACUGCCGGUCUAGAGUUCGAGAGAGGUGAGUGGAAUUCCGAGUGUAGAGGUGAAAUUCGUAGAUAUUCGGAGGAACACCAGUGGCGAAGGCGGCUCACUGGCUCGAUACUGACGCUGAGGUGCGAAAGCGUGGGGAGCAAACA
This 402-nucleotide ribosomal RNA is filed under the name uncultured prokaryote. Its description in RNAcentral is "bacterial SSU rRNA". It matches the Rfam family "Bacterial small subunit ribosomal RNA", at positions 355 to 774 of the family's 1533-position model. The record is from RNAcentral.